RNAcentral lists this long non-coding RNA (14157 nucleotides) under Vitis vinifera (wine grape). RNAcentral's name for it is "long non-coding RNA (VVIN_LNC001398)". Lineage: Eukaryota; Viridiplantae; Streptophyta; Magnoliopsida; Vitales; Vitaceae. The record is from RNAcentral.
CAAAUGAUCAAGCAACAAGGAAUAUCAGUCACAGAUGAUCAAGCAACAAGGAAAAGCAUGGUGCAUUACACGACAUUCCGUGAAAAAAAAAAAUAUUAUGUCAGCAAAUAGAAAGUGAUUAGGACCCCUCCAAUGGUCUCAUAGUACAGAUAAGUUAUGUAUACUAAAUACAAUAUUCACCGAAUCCAGCAAUAGUAUUAACUUUGUUUACAUCAAAAUUUUCCUUCCCCCUUCAUGGAUAAAAUGAUGAUAAGAUGGAAAUAUUAGAAAAGAUGAAGCAAAAAGCAGAGUUUGACAACGUUUUACUCCAAACUCUAAGGAGGUGUUGAGGCUUCAAGAUUGAUAACCAGCGAGUGAAGCUGCAACAGGACAUCCCUUGGAACAGCAGAUCACUUUACACACCAUAAGACUCUUUUCCACCAUGUAAACGGAGAUGUGAUGGGGGCCAAAAAUUCCAUGUAAGUCCAUCAUUGAAGGCACCAUUGUACUGUGUCACACCCCCAAUGACCUCAACAAAUAAUCAUCAUACCCCUUUUCCUCCCCUGCAUCCUGUGAAUAAAAAGACAGCAACUCACAACUCAAAAUGAUUAUCAGAUUCUCUUACCAAUCAAAAGAAGGAAAAAAGGAGGGCGAAAACUCAGGAAGAUUCUCCUAAUUAAGGAUUGGUGCCAAGUACGUUGGACAUGGACUGUUGGUACUUCAUGGGAAUAGCAUGUGUUAUUGUCGGUAGUAUUAAAGUAGAACCAGUGGCAUAUUUUGUUUUCGAAUGCUCAAAUCCACACGAAAAUAAAAAUGUCUUAUCCUCUCUACAUCAAUAAAGCCCUCCAAUUUCCAGCAUUACAGUCACAAUCCGCGUUUCGAGCAUGCAUGAUAUUUGAGAGCAUAGCUCGGGAGAAUUGUGUUUUGAACCCUGUUGAGCCCAAAAAUUAACAUUUGGUCCAUGUAAUUUUCAUAAUUGAUAGGAAGAAUAUAAGACGUUAAAAGACCAAUACAUCUUUCAAAUUUCCAUAUAUUAUCUUUUAAGGAUAUAAAAUAGUGAUGGACUAAAAUACCCAAUGACCUUUCACAUAAGUUUUUUUUGUCUUUAUUGCACCACUAUUCAUGCAAUCGUAAUAAUUCUAUUUUAACAAUUUGGAUUUUUCAUUGUUUUUAAUUUUUUUUAUAAAUAAUUAAAAAUCAGCAUUAUUUUCUAUUUUAAAUUAUAAAUAAAGAAAAAUUAUGUUCAAAAACUAUUUUGAGAAAUACUUUCUAAAAAAAUGGUAAUAUGAUUUAUAUUUUUUAUAUUUUCUUUUUGAAAAAACAUUUAAUAAAAAAAUGAAAACUCAUUUUAAAAAUAAAAAUUGAAAACAUUGUUUAAUACUAUUUUUAUAUGAAAAAAAUAAAAAGAAUUAACUUCCAUUCAUUGAUUAUCCAUUUUUUUUCCAUUAGUUAUUUCAAUAAAAAAAAAUAGUAUGUUUACAAUUAAACAAAAAAAUUGAUCAAUUAUGUGUUUUUUGUGGGACUAUCUUUUACAUGAAAAAUAAUUAAAUAACUAAAUUAUACAUAUUUAUUACUCUUUUUAAUUUUAUUUUCUUUAUUUAUUUUUUGUCUAAUAGAAAAUUUUAAUAUAUCCAUAAUUAACAAAGUAAUAAAUCAAUUGUGCACAUUUUAAUCUAUUAAAAUAAAUUACUUUCUAAUUUAAAUAAAUAAAAUGAAAUAAGUAAAUAGAUUUGAGGUUAUUUCUAUUUUUUAACAUAUCUUAUAUCAAUAUUUUUUAUGGUUAAAUAAUUUUUUUACUUUUUUUUCUUUAAUUCCAAAAAUAAAAUGAAAUAAAUAAAUAAAUUUGGUAUUUUCUAACUGAUAUUAUAUUCAUAUUUCUUAUGGUUAAAUAAAUUUUUUAUUUUUUUCUUUAUUAAAAAUAAAAGGAAAUAAAUAAAUAAACUUUUUUUUUGUCUUGUCAUCUAAGGAUUGCACACUCUUAAGGUACACAUUUCUCUAUUACACACUCAUCUUAUGUACUUUAUUUAACUCGCGCAUGAUAAUUCGAAUACUUAUCCCACUAAUGAUGUUUGAGAGAAAUUUUUUUUUCCAUCUUCCACUAUUUUUUGAAACAAACCAAUGAAAACAUGAUUAACCUACCUAUGAUUACACAUUGAGUAGGGGGUAUAUAAAAUUUGAGUCACUGUAAAAUGUAUUUACACUAAGUGUACAUAACAGAUAUAUUAACUGUACAAAGGUGUACAAGACAAAAUUAUACAACAAUUUUUCUUCUUUUCUAAAACCAAACUAAUAUAAAUAUGGUUAACCGACCUAUUGUCAGAUAUUCAUGAGAUGAUGUAUGAAAUUUGAAUUAUUGUACAAAAGUAUUACACUAACUGUACAAGACAAAUUUACUAAUUGUACAAGGGUAUACAAGACUACUUUUUGUUAAAGAUUUCAAGUGAUUUUGAAAAACUUUUCCAUUUUUUUCCACUUAAAGAUUUUUUUCCCACUCAAAUUCUCUCACUCAAGAAUUGUUUCAAAUUUUAUUUUUAAAUUUCAUCAUCAAAAUUUUGUAAUUGCAUAUUUUGUUUUUAUAGUUUUAGCAAUGUUCUUUCUUUCCACUUUUUUUUUUUUUUGUGAAAUUUUAUCCAAUUGAAUCUAUAUUUUAAAUUAUAAUCAUAUUUAUCAAAUUUUUUUACUAAGAUUAUCUUUAAUUCUUUUAAUAUAUUUAUACUCAUUUAUUUAAAAAAUGAAAAACUAAUUUUUUUUUUUUUUUAAACAUGUUCUAUUACCUUUCAAGUAAAAAAUUAAAUAAGUUUGAAAGUCAAUAAAAAAAAUUAAAUACCACUUUCAAUAAUUUUUAGAUAAAAUUUUAUAUAAUAUAUUUUAUUUGAAAUUUAAUUUCUAAAGUUUAACUCAAAAAUUGUAUUGACAAUUUUCUUGUUGUGAGUUAAAAUACUUUGUAUUAGUUUAUUUAGAUAAGAAAAAUUAUUAAUAUAAUAUUAAAACUUUAUAUCUUAGUUUUUUUUUUUCAAUAAAUUUAUCUUUUUAAAAAUUUUAAAAUAAAAACAUUAAAAAUUAAAAAGCUAAAAGAAUAUAUAUAUAUAUAUAUAUAUAUAUAUAUAUAUAUAUAUAUAUAUAUAUAUAUAUAUAUAUAUAUAUAUAUAAAAAAAAUAUAUAAAUAUAUAUAUAUAUAUAUAUAUAUAUAUAUAUAUAUAUAUAUAUAUAUAUAUAUAUAUAUAUAUAUAUAUAUAUAAUAAAGUGAAGUGAUAGUCAAUUUUUAAAAUUUUUAAAAUAUGAUUAAUGUAGAAAAUAUAAAAAAAUAAUUAAAAAUAAGAGAAAAAUAUAGAUGAAAGGGUAAUAUAAAUUUAAAAUAAAAAAUGAAAAUUAAACUAAAAGAUAAAAAAUAUUUGGAUUCCUAAAAUUUUUAUCAUUGCUUAUAAUAAGAGCAAAAAGAUUCAAUAUCUUUAAAAAUGAAAAACAAAAAAACAUUAUUGUUUUUUAUUUGACAUAAAAUAGAAAUAUAGAUUAGAAGAAAAAGAAAAAAAAAAGUUAGAAAUGAGUAAUACUUGAUAGGGAAUAAAAAAAGGAAAAAAAACAUAAAAAAAAUUAAAAUUCACACUUGUGCCAUAUAAGGGUUAAGGGUAUUUUAGGGAUUAAUAAAAAAUAAUAUCUUUCAUCUUAAUUUUCAUACUUUGUUAGGGUUUUAAGCUUAAAUAUACAUGAUAUAUAGACCAAAUAUUAAUUUUUGGCCGCAACCGGACCAAAACACAAUUCUUCCUAUUUGAUAUCUCAAUCAAUUUGUCCUUACGUGAAGGAAAAUCAUUAGUCCGAAAAGACAUGUCAAGCAAUUACAACACUUUCCUUUUCGUCAUUUUGGUUUCUUUUACAUUAGCUGGCAUUGGUUACAUCCUUUAAGAAGCUUUAGCAUGCCGAAAGCUUGUUACAGCACCACCCCUGGACCCAGUGUCUCAAUGUUGAAUACCUUUCUCAUGUAACACAAGUCUGAAUCAUGCCACAGUGCUAGACCCAUUUCCAGGCCUUGAUGAUUCAUCCCACACUCACAUGCCCAAUGGAAGUCAGUGGGAAGGCACUCAAAACUCCUACUCUUGACUCUCUGAAAUGGAUGGGAAGGACGAUGCAGAAGGGGUCCCCUAGGUGCCCAAAAAUGGACGGUAUGUUUUGUUACUGGCGCCUUGUGAAGGAAAAAAAUGGAAAGGAAAGAGGAAAGAAAUUGAGAGAGGCCCCAAUACUAAGUGGGGAACAUUGAAAUGCAUUAGUGUGUUAAGGCUAAUAGAAGCAAUUCAUCACCACACAGGAUAUAUUAGUGGAGACUUUUUAUAAACAAUGAUAGAGACAGUAGCACUAAAUCAAGCAAGCAAAAGAAAGAAAGGAUUAGUGGGCGUAAAAACAGUAUUAUUUGGACCCUUGUUUGGUGGGUCUAUCAGAACACUUACCUCUCAAGACCUACCCCAACUUCUAUCAGGAUGCACCAUUUUCUAUUCAAAGCUUAGAAAAUAAAAUAUACAUAUAUAUCAAUAUCAGAUCCAUGUUUUGAAAUGCUUGACCAAUAGUUUGAGGCAAAAUAGGAUUUCUGGUGCUCUAAGUUGUCAUUGAACAAGUCAUUCUUCCAUAACACCAUAUCGUUCAAGUAUCACACAGAAAACCCCAUUAAGGACUUCACAGCACAAGCACUAAAAUAAUGAGAUCAUAUAAAGGUAGGAUCUGUUGGAAUUUUUGUCCAAACAGAAAACUAAUCUGAGUGUUGAAAGGUCAAUGAAGUGCAUAUCUAAGACAUGAUGUCAAAUUCACGUUACGAAAGAGCUGCAUAGGGCAUCCCAUACACACUGAAUCAAACAACAGCCUUUCAUCUUCAAACAACGGAUGUGCUUCAAUAAUACAAGAACGACAAAUGAGACUAUUACACCUUGGUUCAUGUCCAUGGGAUGCCAGAUGAAAUAAAUUGACGAGAUCAAGAUGCAGUCAUGACGCGAUCAUCGUCAUGGAACCCUCAUAAAUCAGCAUAUGGCUGGGCCAGCCCACUGGUAAACAAACAUUAUUAGAUUCUUCAUUCCCUGUUAGAAUGAUCUUUUUCUUUUCUUGGGUGGUGGAGGUUGCUCAAGAAUGAAGAAACAUUUUGAUAAAUGGCAACUUGAAUCCACUUGACUUGGAGGCAAGGAAGUGUUCCUUCACAUAACAGGGAAAGGCAUUUGAUCCAGGAUUCUUUUUUUAAUCCUAAAAAAUGCUAGUUUCAGAGGACCACAGAUUCUCAAGAAUGAGAAUGGGUACAAAUGACCUUGCAAGACAGCACAAUUUCCUUAGCAAAAAGAUGAAACCGAGCGGACGUCUCCCUUGCUUCAUAAAGAUAAUUUAUUCAGUUUGAAGAAGCUCUAUGCUCUUCUGGUGCACAUACAAAAAACCACAAAUAUAUGUGCAUGACAGACAAUACCGCAUCAAGUUCAACAGUUAUAGACAUGCGUAAUAAUCUACAAAGCUAUCUUGCUGUCAGCAAAGGAUUCCACUCUGCUUGAAUGCCCAUAACAGCAUAAUGAUAAAAGAAGAGCUCCAGUUUCACUUAAUUAUAGCACAAUAUCACAUGGGUAUAGAAAUGAAGCAUCAUGUUUCAGAUUUCAUGUCAUCAAACUGGUUGUUCUUUGAUAUUGGGAUGCAGUGAGAUCAUGUGACAAAAUCUUGUGUGCCACUAAUUUGAAAAAGUAUUCAGAAAAAUAAAAGACAGACACUAGAAUGUUAUCAGAAACUAAAUAGGCUCAUUUCAAAUUCUAUAUACAUUGACUUGUUCAACUUCCAUCAGAAAUCCAAAUGCUCCAGGAAAGUUGAAUCCCAUAAGUAAUACCUACCUCAAAAGUACUCUUUCUAAUUUAGUUAGUGGCCCUGAAAGUUCCAUUUUCAACACAGUUUUGAUUUAUCAAUAGGAUAAUUCCUAAUAUGGUCAUGAAAUGUCCAACCUUCAUGUCUUAUCCAGAAAAGAACUAAAAGAAAAAGAAAUAUAUCAAACAGAGAAUCACUGCAUCACAAUCCUUUGACAGGGCUGAUGUUUGAUUUAUUGGAGCAUUUAUUACAUGCAGUAAGUAAAGCGAGUAUUAUUGUUGAUGGUCAAUGAACUCAAUUCAUGUCACAGGCCUUUUCUUGUUGUUCUUUUUCAUACAUGCUGUAAAAUGGCCAAUGGAUCCAAGGAUUACGAGAAAACCACACAAAUUGUACUAUUACCAUAUCCAUUUUAAUGUGGCAAGUGCAGGAAUUUUGAAUAAUCAUCAUUAGAGGUAGUAAGGGCGACAUGGAAUGACCCAUGGAAAUGGAACAUUUCCAUUGCACUUCAUGAAGAAUUUUAAAGGUGAAAAGACACUAGUGCACUUAUUUGCUAUUGUUUUAGAGUGACAUCUCCAUUUUCUCCAAUAACCAUUCUAGUAGAUUAGAUUGAUCCCUCGAAAUUCAAAUGCUACCAAAAACCAACAUUACAUGCAAGAUCCAAGUAUCGUCAAAUAGAAUUAUACCCUGUCCUACUAAAGAGAGAAUUAGCCUUCAUCAUGCAUGGAAGAAACCUUCACCAUGAGGAACAAGAUGGGGGAAAAGAAUCCACGUUUAACUAGAUUAGAGGACAGUAAACAUUCUUCCAUAGAGUUCCCAAAUGGAGAAAGAUACACCUCAUUAUGACGCUUCAGUAGAUAAAAUAUUGCUGAAAGAGCAUCUGAGCUUGAAACUUAUUUUGACGGGCUCUAGAAGAAGUUAAGAAGGAGGCUUCUUUCUUAAUCUGGUGGGGGAUAGGAUCCAAACUCAGACAGGUUUCCUUUUAGAUUGUCUCUCAGUUGCCGGGAUAUUAUUAAGAUGAUUAGAGGAAGAUCUCUAAAGCAUUCCAUUUGUCAAUAAAGGCACCAGUAUCAAGUUGAUUGAUUAGCUAGAUUGCAAAGGAAAGGGGUUCUGUAAGUUUUAAGGACUUUCAACCUAUUUUCUAAGGAAAGGGCCCUUAUAAGGUUAACUCAAAUAUUUUACCCAGUAGACUGAAAAGGGUUUUGGGUGAGACCAUUUCCCUGGCUAAAGGUGCUUCCAUAAGUGGGAGACAAAUUACAAGCGCCAUUCUUGUAGAAAUCGAGUGUGUGGAUUAUAGGACCCUUGUGGACAGUUCAAUUAGCUGUAGAUGAUCUCCACUGGUGGCUAGAUGUUUCACCUAGUAUGAUGUUGAUCAUGAGUUUUAGGAGUUGUUUACUCUUAUCGCCAAGGCCGACAUGGUGUAUUCUCGUUCAUUACCACAUAAGCAGAUAGUGUUACCAAAAACAACUGCCAAAGUUCAUCAGCUCAAAGACAACCCUUGCAGCAAACCAUUCUCAUUGCUCUACCAUACAUUCAUUCCAAAUGGAGGAUGAAACAUAUAUGGGGGCUCAAUUCUUACAUCUCUCAUCUAAGCAAGCUUCAACUAUUUGGGGGUCUAAAAUUGUCUACCUGGCAAGCUGGUUAAGAUUCAACCUUAUGGCUUUAAAAAAACCCUUUGAAUUCCCAAAAUUUGCAACCAAAAGCACUUGGGUAAUUACUUCAAACCAAAAUUAAGCACUUGGGUUUUCAGGCUUUGUUGAGAACAAACCCUUGUUCUUGAAAUUACUAACAAAUAUUAGUGAAAGUACCAUAGAAACUCCAAUUGGGGAUAGCCUUAAGUGCUUUAACUACUGGAUUUAGCUCCUUCACAUAUUUUUAAUUCCACAAAAAUAAAAUUAAAAAAUAGAGAAAUUAAAAAAUAUUAUAUUAAUAAUUAGCAUAAAACUCUGUUCUAAAUCCAAUCUACAACUGGGUUUUGUUAAAUAAAAUCAAACAUGGUAAAUAGGUCCUUAUAGUUCAUCGGUAUCACCAUCAUCACUGUAAAACAAGAUAACUGUAACAUUCAUGGGAGCUGAUUCUCACCGGAAUAACUCGGAUAGGGCUGACUGAGUGAGAGCACCGCGUUGGCUCAGUCAAACUCAGAGUGUGGUUGUCCCUUUCAAGAAGACACCGUUUUGCCUAUUUUGGCAUAUUUUCAAACUAUUGUGAAAAUUAAUAUUUUUUUAUUAUUUUUAAACUACUUUAAAAUUAAUUUAAAAUCAUAUUUUGAAAUUACCAAUCCUAUACAAAUUCAAAAUCGCAUUUUCUAAUUCACGAAAAGUUAUACUUUCCAACAUGCAGUUUCUAAAUUGUAUUGAAGCCAUAAUUUCAAAAUGGGGUUUUAGAGAAAUUAAAAAAAAUAAAAUAGAAUAAAAAUGUCAUAAGUGACCCUUCUUGAACAAUAGUUUGGGAGAAGCCUCAAGAUGGAUAUUUUAAUGGUUUAAAUGGAUGGUUGAAAUUAAAACUCUAUUCCAACUCCCAUUAGAGACCAAUCCACAAUUACUAAUGCCAUGUUUGGUUAGUGGAAAGUUUGGGGGAAAAUAGAGGGAAAUAAAAUAAAGAGAAAAAGAAGAAGAAAAAUAAAAAAGAUUUAAAAUUAAUAAAUUAUUUUUAUAUACUACUUCAAUUUUUUUUUACCUAUUUAAUUCUUUUAUAUAAAUAUUAGAGAAUUUAAAAAUAUAUAAAUUUUUUAAUAAUUUUAAUUAUAUUUAACUUUUUUUUACAUUUUUCAUAAUAAAAUCAAAUAAGAGAAAAUUAUUUUUCUUAAUAAUUUUUUUUCUUUUCCUAAUAUUUUUCAAGAACCAAAUAUAACCGAAUGGAAAUAAAAUGAAAAACAUUAUCAUGAAAAGGAAAGGUAUCCAAUUAAAAUCAAUAAUUAUAUUAAAGUAAGGAUAAUGUUACUUCUCGUAAAAACUAUGUUUUACCUUGUGAAAGAAAUUAUUUCAUGUUUAAUAAAACUUUUAUAAUAUUAAUAUAAUCUUUUAAAAAUUGUAAUUUUGACUUUAAUUUAAGCUUUUAGUUAAAGUUUAAAAAAAAUAAAUCAUUUGAAUUGACUUUUAAGAAGUCAAAAGUCUUUUUUUUAACUCGUUGGUUUGAUUUUUAUUUUAUUUUUAUAAAACGGUUUGACUUAAAAAAAAGAGUUUAUAGUCUUAAUUAGAAAGCUUAUUUAAAUAUUCUUAAUUUAAAAAAUGACAACAUGGGUACAUGUGAGAUUUCUAUUCUUUUUCCUUUUUUUUUUCUUUUUUUCUUUUGUAAUUUAAUAGGCUUUUUCUUAAGACAUAACAUAUGUGUAUGAUAUUUUUUGGAUGUAAUUAAUUAAUGCAGGUUGCAUAGGAUGGUGUCUCCCAUGUGUCACCUUCGGCCAAACUGCAGAAGUGUUAGAUGAGGGGGAAACUUGUAAGUAUCACCAAUCAAAUAAUUCUAAUAUAUUUAUAUAUUAGAAUUAUUUUAGCUAAAAAAAAUUAAUUGUUUGCUAACACAAAUAAAACCCUAGUCUAUAUUAAAAAGGAAUUAAAAGAUGAAUAAUAAUUUCCUAAAACAUGUUAAAAUAAAUAAAUAAAAAAUUAUCUGGAAAUUUCACAAGUUAAUGUCAAUUCCAUAGAUAUAGGAGAUUGUAAAAUCCAGAGUUUGGGAUCAAAGUCGAUUCAAAAUCAAAUUGAAUUUCAAGACCAAUUUUACAUCAGAAGCUUUGAUUUUCACUUAUUAAAUCUAUUGAUUAAUUUAAUUUUCGGUUUUAAACAUUUAUAGUUCAUAUUCAUUUUAUAGAUUCAACUGUUAGAUUCAUUAAUGAUGAGAUCAAACUAAGUUAACUAAUGAUAAAGGUUUUCCAAGAGUUACUAAUAUCUCAGGAAGGAUUCUUCUAUAUUCCUCAUCUAAGGUGAACUAACAAGGUAGAUGUAUUCAUAUUGAUUUAUAACAUAAAAGUACAAAGAAAACCAAUCAAAGAUUAGUAUGAUGUUGCUACUCCUUUCGAUUAUUCACCUUCAUGUUAGUAUUUUUAAAUCACAUCAUAUUAGUCAAAUCUAGUGAAGAAUUUCCUCGCAUAACCCAUGUUUCAUCACCAAGAAAAUAAAAUAGAAAGGAAUGAAAAAGAAAAAAAAAGAAAAUUAAACCUUUAUUGUAUAAAGAACCGAAAAGCAAGAGUCAUCAAUUUUUCCUCAUGAACUUAAAACCUAAAAGAAAGCAAAUAUAUAUAGUGUAACCCUGAAAGAGACAUGUGUCACCUUCUAAUUAACCACUUAUUCUUAUUAAAAAAACAAAAGAAGAAAAUUAUGAGUUACUAAAUGAUAAGAACAUGUUUUAAAUUGGUUGGAGUCGAAAAGAAGUGAUUUUGAAAUGGAUGGAGACUUGAUCCCAACUUUGUAGACCUUGAUCUCAAAAUUUAGGGUGAAAUCAAAAUCAUUUCGAAAUCAUAAGUGAUGCAUAUCUAAAUGGCAAUGGGCAUCUAAGGAUCCACAUUUUUGUCAUGCAUUCCCACUCAGUUGUGUGACUCGCUUUUUAUGUGUGAAAAAAAAUAUAUAUGUAUAUUUUUAGAAAAGUUUUUAGAGUCGUCACUUAUUUUUGUUUUAUUUUUAAGAAGGAAAAACAAAAUAAGACUCCCGAAAGAAAAGCAAGUUUAUGAAAACCAAGUCUAGGUCCAAGAUCAGAUCACCUAUUGAACAGAAAUGGUCCAUAACACUCCUCUAAACCCUAAAAUCAAGUCUCUACUAAUCAAGUUAAUGCAAAUAAGGUAAUUUAUUAGUUAAUCUAUGAGUACUAAUAGGAUAAAGGCAAAUCAUGCAUAGGGUGUAAAUAAAAACAUAAGAUGAAGAUUGGACCGUAUCUUGGCAACAAGGUGAGCGUUUCAUGAGAAAUUAUGUUAAUAUAUAAUAAUAAACACAAAAUAUCUCAUGUAUGUCACAAAGCAAGGCAGAGAUCAAUCAAUAUUUAUUAAGUAUAGCAAUCAAUGAUCAAAGGAGAAAACUCAUAUAUAGGGGCCCACCAAAACUCAAUUUAUUUUUUCAUCAAUUAAUUCCAUUUUAUUGAUUAUCACGAGGGAUUAUAGAAAUUUGGAUGAAUUUUAUUAUUUGUGGAAUUAGAAAAUUUAUUCAUGUUUAUUAAAAAUCAAGAAAAAUCAGAAAAUUAUUUAAAAUCUAAGAAAAUAAGAAAAGGUGCAUGACGGAAAAAAAUUUGGCAGCAAAAAUUUAUUGAAAUGAUGUUAGAGUCCUAAAAAAAGUCUUUUUAAGGACGAAUUUUUAAAACUGGGGCUAUUUCAGUUGAAAACAGUUUUGAAAUUUCAAUUUAAAAACCUGUAACUGAGACUGUAUUGCUUAUGUUGAUGUUGCUGCUAUAUAUUGCCAUUGUGGGUGCCUUCCCAAGUAUGCAUUUCUCCACUUGCUCUUCAAAUUUGCAGAACAUGGUUCAGAAUCAGACUGCAACCUGUUAUCUGCACUGCUUCUUUUGGCCAAAUCACUAAAAACGCCCAGAACUCUAUGUUUAUCCUCAUGGUACAGAGAGCUUACAGCCAUACUCAAAAUAGAUAACACCUUGUCCUUCUUCUCUUCAAGUGUUCCUUGGAAUCUGGCCUCCCUUGUACCAUCUUGUUUAAAUUGUCCUCAUUGCACAGAAGAGAUAGUAUCUUCUUUCCUUGUAAGGACAGCAAUCUGCAUGUAUUUCAUGAAGGUGGAUAGAAGGUGAUCUUUAGCUUUUGACGGCUCCACACGUACUGACAGACUCUCUGUGAGCUUCAGCAUUGAAGAUGCAAAAAGCUUCAUCAACCCAAGUUUAACUAUCUCAUCAGGAGCUAUGGGGAAAUCUUGAACUGCGGCCGUGGUUGUAGGCGUGAGUAUAGCCUAUAGUUUUCAGCAAACCUCACAUGGAACACCACAUAGCCGCAACCUGUACCCUGUAUUCUGCUUCAUGAAGAAAAGCAAGACCCUCUGCUGCAUCUAAAGCAAUUUUCAUUCUUGUUGAUCAAGUCAGUGUAGCACACACUAGGAUGGCCAUGCACACGUGGGAGCCGGGGACUUAGGAAGUGAAUAUUGGAUAUGGUAUUCAAGUCCUCUGAUCUUUAUUCAACUUCUGAUGGUUCAUUCAAGUAAAUGACCCUUGCAUCAAAUCGAAUUUUCAGGCACAAAAAUCUGACAUCUCCGACUUUGUUCCCCUUUGUACAGAACAGCUAAACUUGGGAGAAUUCUGUCCCUUCUCAAGAUCAUCAAAAGCAGCUGGAGAAAGCAGGCAACAUCAAACUUCUGGAUCCUCAAGGAAUUCCCACAAAGACCCGAUUUCCAAACCCCAUGCAGAAUACAGUGUCAAGUUCUCCGGCAUAUAUUCUGGAGGCUUUACAAGUGAAGGACAAAAAGCUGAUGAGCGUAGGCUAGCUUCUUUCCUGAUGUUCUCUUUAUGACUACGGGUCAAAGGAUUCAGAAGACAUGGAAGUCAACCAUGGUUAAUUAUGCACUGGGUUUGCAAGAUUGCUCCUGACAGCAAGUGUUCGUUUGUUGUUAGACAGUGCUGAGGGCUUUGAGAGUCUCUGCCAAGAGCUGGUUCAGUUUGUAGAUCCCUGAGUAGAAACCAGAGCAACUGAGUGGAUAAGAAACAGGAGAAUGAGUGGUCACACUGUCGGAUGACUUCAUUGGAGUAACCUUAAAGGCAUGGGAGUCCAGAGAUCUCUCGGAUGAGGUUUGUGAGAUUAUGUUGGGAAAUGUAAGAUUUGGAAAUAAGGCUUCAAGAUGAACUGAUAUGGUUACGGCUAUCGAGAGGAACCUGACAUAUCUCAACUGUUGUUCCUUCAGGUUAAGCUUCCUGAAGCUUUCUUGCAGGAUAAGGACCCCCUUUCUAACAGCUUCCUGCAGCUUUUCAGCUAUUCCGGUUAGAGCAGGGACACUAGUGAGUUUACUUGAUGACAUAACCUAAUGAAUUGCCUCACAACAUUCAGCAUAUCCACAAACAACCAUGAGCCCUCAUUAAUCAAUACAAGUAACUUCUCCACCAAGAUUAAUUACACCAAUGCACUGACCAGCUUGACAAUCCCGAAUCCUUAUAGUCUCAUCUUCACUACCAGUAUAUGACUUAUCAAACCCAGAUGGCAAAGUAAUCCCAAAUACAAAACUCCAAUUCAGCUCCAUGGCCAAUAUUUUGGACUAAUAGACUGGAGCACAGAUAUAAUCACAGAAACCCUCCAUUUAGUUCAUUUCUCUUCACAACCUCACUUUUCCAGUCUCAUCAACUUGGCCAUUGAUGACCUCAUCCCCACCAUCAACAAAAAACAGAGCAAUAAACAGAGAGGAGCAAAAAAAAAAAAGAAACAGGAUAUGAACUUAGCUAUAUUUCACGGAUUGUCAAAGAGCAAGAGCAAGUGGAAUCAACAGGAAACAAAGCAUGAUUUUUAUAUAUCAAGUUCAGGGAUGAAGCCAUACAUCAGAUACUUAUAGAAGGAGUCAAGGAAACCAAGAUAAAAUCAAACAGAGCAUAUAUGCACACAAACAGAUUCAGCAAAACAAACCAGUAAUCCUUGAUGCCCAAACCAAUCAAUAAAAUCACACCCAGGAAUCUGCAGAAAGAUUUAGCAGAAUAAUGUGAUAACGAGGAAAUGUGAAGUUCACAGAGACCUUACCUGGAAGUUUCCUCCCCGAGCAAGGUGUGCUCCUCUUCAAGCACUCUUUCUUCCUCCAAAGCCAGCGAGAACUCCCAGCUUCUUCUUCUCCUCUGCUCUGCUUUCUUGUCCUCCAAGACACACUUACCCUCUCUCUCAAAAACAGCCUUCCCUCCUUACCCCUUUCUCUAAAACAGCUACCCAAUGGAUCCUCUCCAACAGCUCCUCACCGGAAAAUGGUCCCCCAGACUAGAAUCUGCCCCCCUCCAAGAAUAUUUUCUCACAGUUCAGCUCACCAUCUCUCUCAAUUCCCCCCACCCACCCUUUUCGGUUUUCUCCUUCCCCAAGUUUUCUUCUUCUUUUUCUUCCACUCCUCUGCCCUCCAAAAUUUCUCUCCCUCUCCUCUCCAAAACCCCUUAGAAAACAAAGCCCCUCUGCUCUCUCUCUCUCUCUCUAAGGACCCCCUCCAAAGCGUGCUGCCCUCUGCAGAGAUUGUCCCUCCAACUGCAGAAAACUACCUCCUACCCCCAACAAACUCUUACCAGAAAAAUUAAAAAACCUUUUCCCUGCCGCGUGUCUCCUCCAGGGUGGUUUAAAAAAAGUCCCAGAAAACCAAAGGUGGCCCAAAAAGAGAGUCCCACGCCGACGGCCCAAAAUGGGGUCUACAGCAUCUUUAAAUUUCAAUAUAUUUUAUAUUCAUCCGCUGCCCUCCUCUUCCUUUGCAAUUCCUCGCGUCGAAUUGAUGUUUUCUACUUUGA